CGUGCCGUGAGGUGUUGGGUUAAGUCUCGCAACGAGCGCAACCCCUACUAUUAGUUGCCAUCAGGUUAUGCUGGGCACUCUAAUGGGACUGCCUACGCAAGUAGUGAGGAAGGUGGGGAUGACGUCAAGUCAGCAUGGCCCUUACGCCUAGGGCUACACACGUGCUACAAUGGGUACUACAACGGGUUGCUAAGCCGCAAGGUGGAGCCAAUCCCUUAAAGGUAUCCUCAGUUCGGAUUGGAGUCUGCAACUCGACUCCAUGAAGUUGGAAUUGCUAGUAAUCGCGUAUCAGCGCGACGCGGUGAAUACGUUCCCGGGCCUU
RNAcentral lists this ribosomal RNA (322 nucleotides) under uncultured bacterium. Its description in RNAcentral is "bacterial SSU rRNA". It matches the Rfam family "Bacterial small subunit ribosomal RNA", at positions 1061 to 1382 of the family's 1533-position model. The record is from RNAcentral.